AUUGAACGCUGGCGGCAUGCCUUACACAUGCAAGUCGAACGGUAACAGGGAGCUUGCUCCGCUGACGAGUGGCGAACGGGUGAGUAAUGUAUCGGAACGUACCAUUCAGUGGGGGAUAACGUAGCGAAAGUUACGCUAAUACCGCAUAUUCUGUGAGCAGGAAAGCAGGGGAUCGCAAGACCUUGCGCUGAUUGAGCGGCCGAUAUCAGAUUAGCUAGUUGGUGAGGUAAAGGCUCACCAAGGCGACGAUCUGUAGCGGGUCUGAGAGGAUGAUCCGCCACACUGGAACUGAGACACGGUCCAGACUCCUACGGGAGGCAGCAGUGGGGAAUUUUGGACAAUGGGGGCAACCCUGAUCCAGCCAUGCCGCGUGAGUGAAGAAGGCCUCGGUUGUAAAGCUCUUUCGGUCCGGGAAAAGUACGACAUCAGUUAAUACCUGGUGUGGAUGAUGGUACCGGAAUAAGAAGACACCGGCUAACU
Molecule: ribosomal RNA, 480 nt
Filed under: uncultured bacterium
Lineage: Bacteria
Description: bacterial SSU rRNA
Rfam family: Bacterial small subunit ribosomal RNA
Source: RNAcentral